GACGAACGCUGGCGGCGUGCUUAACACAUGCAAGUCGAACGGAAAGGCCCUGCUUUUGUGGGUUGCUCGAGUGGCGAACGGGUGAGUAACACGUGAGUAACCUGCCCUUGACUUUGGGAUAACUUCAGGAAACUGGGGCUAAUACCGGAUAGGAGCUCCUGCUGCAUGGUGGGGGUUGGAAAGUUUCGGCGGUUGUGGAUGGACUCGCGGCUUAUCAGCUUGUUGGUGGGGUAGUGGCUUACCAAGGCUUUGACGGGUAGCCGGCCUGAGAGGGUGAACGGCCACAUUGCGACUGAGAUACGGCGCAGACUCCUACGGGAGGCAGCAGGGGGGAAUAUGGCACAAUGGGCGGAAGCCUGAUGCAGCAACGCUGCGUGCGGGAUGCCGGCCUACGGGUUGUAAACCGCUUUCGCCGGUGACGAAGCGUGCGUGACGGUAAUGGGUCAAGAAGCACCGGCUAACUACGUG
This 468-nucleotide ribosomal RNA is filed under the name uncultured bacterium. Its description in RNAcentral is "partial 16S ribosomal RNA". It matches the Rfam family "Bacterial small subunit ribosomal RNA", at positions 28 to 507 of the family's 1533-position model. The record is from RNAcentral.